GGCCUCGUAGCUCAGUAGGAUAGAGCGGCGGUUUCCUAAACCGCGUCUUGCGCGCGUUCGACUCGCGCCGGGGCCA
Molecule: transfer RNA, 76 nt
Filed under: bacterium
Lineage: Bacteria
Description: tRNA-Arg
Rfam family: tRNA
About the family: Transfer RNA (tRNA) molecules are approximately 80 nucleotides in length. Their secondary structure includes four short double-helical elements and three loops (D, anti-codon, and T loops).
Source: RNAcentral